RNAcentral lists this long non-coding RNA (298 nucleotides) under Erythranthe guttata (spotted monkey flower). RNAcentral's name for it is "long non-coding RNA (EGUT_LNC002823)". Lineage: Eukaryota; Viridiplantae; Streptophyta; Magnoliopsida; Lamiales; Phrymaceae. The record is from RNAcentral.
AGGUAUGACCAAAUUACAAAAACACCCCUCUUGUUUGGAUAAUUACAACCACCCCCUCAACUCAUCAAAUUUAGUGGAAUCUUCGAGAUUAUAUGGAAUAUUAUCACUUUUGUACCCAUUUUAUCCCAUUCAAACUCUACAUUAUGAAGCAAGAUGACCAUAAUAUGUGAUUUUUAGCUUGUAUAUAUUAGUUUGUGGUGCAUCGGAAACUGUAUUUUUUACACAAAAAAAGUACAAACUAGAGCACAUUUCACGGAAUCUAGAUGACUAUGUUGAAUUUGGCACCAUAAAGGUGGAG